This 879-nucleotide ribosomal RNA is filed under the name uncultured bacterium. RNAcentral describes it as "bacterial SSU rRNA". It matches the Rfam family "Bacterial small subunit ribosomal RNA", at positions 1 to 927 of the family's 1533-position model. The record is from RNAcentral.
GCUUAGAGUUUGAUCCUGGCUCAGAUUGAACGCUGGCGGCAUGGCUAAAACAUGCAAGUCGAACGACCCCCUCGGGGGGAGUGGCGAAAGGGCGAGUAACGCGAUCGAACGUAUCCCAAGGUGGGGGAUAGCGUCGGGAAACCGGCGGUAAUACCCCAUGUGCUCUCCGGAGGAAAGGCUUGCCGCCUCGGGAGCGGCGAUCGUCCUAUCAGCUUGUUGGUGAGGUAAAGGCUCACCAAGGCGAAGACGGGUAGCGGGUGUGAGAGCAUGACCCGCCGCAUCGGGACUGAGACACUGCCCGGACUCCUACGGGAGGCUGCAGUAACGAAUCUUCCGCAAUGGGCGAAAGCCUGACGGAGCAAUGCCGCGUGUGGGAUGAAUCUUCUCCGAAGUGUAAACCACUGUCAGGGUCUCGCAACACUGAGCAGACCCAGAGGAAGGACCGGCUAAUUCCGUGCCAGCAGCCGCGGUAAUACGGAAGGUCCGAGCGUUAAUCGGAAUCACUGGGCUUAAAGCGUGCGCAGGCGGAUCGGCAGGCAUCUCGUGAAAUCCCACGGCUCAACCGUGGAACUGCGGGGUGAACCGCCGGUCUUGAGGCAGGUAGGGGUCAACGGAACUAUGGGUGGAGCGGUGAAAUGCGUAGAUAUCCAUGGGAACGCCAAUGGCGAAGGCAGUUGACUGGGCCUGUCCUGACGCUCAGGCACGAAAGCGUGGGGAGCGAACGGGAUUAGAUACCCCGGUAGUCCACGCCGUAACGAUGCGCACUAGGUCGAGGGAGCUCUCACGCUUUCUCGGCCGAAGGAAAACCGUUAAGUGCGCCGCCUGGGGAGUACGGUCGCAAGGCUAAAACUCAAAAGGAAUUGACGGGGGGCUCACACA